GUUUCUCACCGUGGAAGGACCAAGCCACAUUAGUUCCAACAAGUUCUGCCUAUGGACCUAGCUGUUUCUGGAAACAGGAGAGGAUGGAAGUCAUGUUUUUGUAAAGGGCUGAGCUGCUGUGGGUGUAAUCAUUGAGAAGUUCAUAUUCAUGCGUGGAAUACAUCUAACAGUACAUUCAGAUGUUACUCCAUCUCCUUCAGUUUACAGGCUGAUCUCUAAGGAUGAUGAGGAUUUGGAAAUAUGCCUUAUCACAGAUUACUCCCCUGAAAACCUUACUCUUAACUCAGCUGAGCACACAAAUGCUGUUGUGGAGGUGGCAACAUCCGAGAACAAACAGGAAGUGAGCUACCUGUCAACCUACUGGGCCAAGAAGGAUGAAAUGAAGUGUGGUGCAAUACACGAGGGCUUUGGAGAACUGGAGGGCGAGGAUCCGGAAAGUGGUGCCAGCACUGUCUGUGUUACAGGGUUGUCUCUACACUUCAGGACAGAUGAAAACCUGAACAUGCUGUCUUUAUCACAGCUGGGCCUGAAAAUAAUUUUAAUGAAAGGAAUAAUUUUUAAUGUGCUGAUGACGAUGCUUAUGUGGAAAAAAAAGAGUGAAAGUAACCAGAUGGUGCAGUCCUGAAGUAACAAAAAAAUCUUCUGAGGAAUCUACCAGAGUAUCGUGUGCAAUAGGGAACACAGGCAUUUCUGUUGCAUGGGAUAUCACUUGCUGUUUCUGUAUAUCACGCCAGCCAUUAUAGUCUAAAUUGCUUUAUUUGCAUUGUUAUAAAGGUACUCAAAAAUAAGCUUAAAAUUUUCAGCACUCUGCUCCCCCAGAUGCCUGAUUCAUUUAGCAUGACAAUGCCUCUUUUUGCAUGAAACAUAGUUUACUAUAACUAUAAAUUGCCAAACAUCACUAUUACUUGUGUUAAAAUGACACACAAUUUCUGCUUGGGGCAGUGUUGUUUGUUGAAAACUGCAAGCUAAAUAUCACUUGAAUGUGAAUUUUUCAUAUUUUGGUGGCUUUCAGGUAUGCACGUCUUAGAGUGCACCCCCACAGACACCAUUUCAGUUGCAAAUGAAACACUGAAAAAUAAACGGAGAGUUAUUCAGGGUGCUAUGCACCAUGUCCUGCUAUCUUUUGCUAGAUCAGAGCAAGGUAUCUUUUUUAUUCCCUUAAAAGAUAUGCUGCUAGGUCUCCCAGAAGUCCUGAAUUCAGUGAAAUUCUCACUUCAUUAUCACAGAACAAAAUAAUGUUUUUUAGUAUUGUUUAAAGUCUAUCUGGCCUUAACAUUUUCUGAAUUUAAACCAGCUUAAGAUUUGGCUUUGUGUUUAGUAAAAAUACAAACUACUUUUGUUCUUUUUGUUUCAUUCUAACAAACUUAGAUUUCCCAAUUUUUUUUUUUAAUAAUCAUUGCAUAAAGCUAUACUGAAAUAUUUACCUGUCCAUAUGUGCACUCCUUGGAAACAGUGCAUGCAUGUGAAAUUCGCACGCUGCUAAUUCUUGAAUGGUACUGGCAACCACACUGAUGUCUUGGCAUUUCUUUAGGCCUUUGGCUGCUAUUAAACAA
This is a non-coding RNA of Aptenodytes forsteri (emperor penguin), 1553 nucleotides long. NCBI's taxonomy places the organism in Eukaryota, Metazoa, Chordata, Aves, Sphenisciformes, Spheniscidae. The record is from the annotation of a RefSeq genome assembly.